CAGUAGCCACGGGAAUACCAGCAGCCCAAGUGGUGGUCGCGAUUAUUGGGCCUAAAGCGCUCGUAGCCGGGCCGGUAAGUCCCUUGUGAAAUCGGACGGCCUAACCGUUCGGCGUGCAAGGGAUACUGUCGGUCUUGAGGCCGGGAGACGUCCGAGGUACUCCGGGGGUAGCGGUGAAAUGUUCUGAUCCUCGGGGGACCACCGGUGGCGAAGGCGUUCGACGAGAACGGGCCUGACGGUGAGGGGCGAAGGCUAGGGGAGCAAACGGGAUUAGAGACCCCUGUAGUCCCUGUCUCUUAUU
This 301-nucleotide ribosomal RNA is filed under the name uncultured bacterium. RNAcentral's name for it is "partial 16S ribosomal RNA". It matches the Rfam family "Archaeal small subunit ribosomal RNA", at positions 459 to 759 of the family's 1478-position model. The record is from RNAcentral.